RNAcentral lists this ribosomal RNA (280 nucleotides) under uncultured bacterium. RNAcentral's name for it is "partial 16S ribosomal RNA". It matches the Rfam family "Bacterial small subunit ribosomal RNA", at positions 74 to 353 of the family's 1533-position model. The record is from RNAcentral.
ACUUGCUUUCUUUGCUGGCGACCGGCGCACGGGUGAGUAACACGUAUCCAACCUACCCUUUACUCGGGGAUAGCCUUUCGAAAGGAAGAUUAAUACCCGAUAGCAUAAUGAUUCCGCAUGGUUUCAUUAUUAAAGGAUUCCGGUAAAGGAUGGGGAUGCGUUCCAUUAGGUUGUUGGUGAGGUAACGGCUCACCAAGCCUUCGAUGGAUAGGGGUUCUGAGAGGAAGGUCCCCCACGUUGGAACUGAGACACGGUCCAAACUCCUACGGGAGGCAGCAUG